Molecule: ribosomal RNA, 490 nt
Filed under: uncultured bacterium
Lineage: Bacteria
Description: partial 16S ribosomal RNA
Rfam family: Bacterial small subunit ribosomal RNA
Source: RNAcentral
AUUGAACGCUGGCGGCAGGCCUAACACAUGCAAGUCGAACGGUAACAGGAAGAAGCUUGCUUCUUUGCUGACGAGUGGCGGACGGGUGAGUAAUGUCUGGGAAACAGCCUGAUGGAGGGGGAUAACUACUGGAAACGGUAGCUAAUACCGCAUAACGUCGCAAGACCAAAGAGGGGGACCUUCGGGCCUCUUGCCAUCGGAUGUGCCCAGAUGGGAUUAGCUUGUUGGUGGGGUAACGGCUCACCAAGGCGACGAUCCCUAGCUGGUCUGAGAGGAUGACCAGCCACACUGGAACUGAGACACGGUCCAGACUCCUACGGGAGGCAGCAGUGGGGAAUAUUGCACAAUGGGCGCAAGCCUGAUGCAGCCAUGCCGCGUGUAUGAAGAAGGCCUUCGGGUUGUAAAGUACUUUCAGCGGGGAGGAAGGGAGUAAAGUUAAUACCUUUGCUCAUUGACGUUACCCGCAGAAGAAGCACCGGCUAACUCCGUG